GAAAAGGAAAGCAUGAGAAGCACACUACAGAGACUGAUCUAGAGAAGUUAUCACUGUGCUGGGUGGGAGUCAUUCAUCUGUCUGCUCUGGGAGGUACAGAUUCACAUGAAGUCCCAGGAUAGCUUCUGUCGGCUUUGGUGGCCUGUUGCAGCAGCCAGCAGCAGGAAACUUGAGGAGCUAUCAUCUCAGGAAUGAACGGGGCCACAUCAAUAAGGAGACCUGUAAUGAUGUGGCUCUAAAUGUCAGCUUUAAAAGCCUGGGAAUUGAUAGAGGAAGAGAGAAGAAAGGGUGUCCCAGUUUUCCACAUGCCGAAUGAUUCAGCAAAAUAAUGUGAGCAAGUCAAGACUCUGGAAAAUAUUUUUAGAUGCCAAACAAAAACCUGGAGGUAAAUCUCUGCCCAGGCAGGUGAAGCUGUUUGUUCAAGAACCAGAGUUGUUUCAUGGGAGAUCUAGAGAUUAGAGCCCAAGCAUCCUGACUUGUAGUUCUCUUUCCAUUUCUUAAGAUACAACCAUUAGGUAAUUUUAUGGAUUUUUUUCCCACAAAUAUACCAGGAUCUACGAUUGAUAUGAGCAUUCGCAUCAUUGUAACUGCUUCAGAAAGCUGGAAUAAUAGAACAUUUUAAAGUACUUCUUUUGGAACUAUUUGUAGACCCAAUUUAAAAGCCAGAAAAAGAACCUCACUGCUCUAUAAUUUUUAUUCUGAAAUAUUUGCUUAUGAUCUAUAAUGCAUUACCCAGCUUAAAUAAUAGAUGAAUCCAGCAACUUGUUUCUGAGUGACUUUUUGUCGUUGUUAAAAGUCAAAUCCAUCUUAGAGGACAGAGAUUUUUCCCCAGAAACUCUGAUGAAGGAAGGCUUUGAAAGUAAUUCCAGGA
Molecule: long non-coding RNA, 871 nt
Filed under: Homo sapiens (human)
Lineage: Eukaryota; Metazoa; Chordata; Mammalia; Primates; Hominidae
Description: long non-coding RNA NONHSAT177602.1
Source: RNAcentral